AUUGUGGGGAAUGUUGUUUGGCUCGAGGAUUCUUCAAUCUUGAUCAAAUUCUUACUUUUUUUUAUGGAUCUGUAUAUCAAUAUAGAUCUAUAAUAUUGGAUCAUUUUUUUUGGUAUCGUCGGACCAGGCUUCAUUCCCCUCAAA
Molecule: microRNA precursor, 144 nt
Filed under: Nicotiana attenuata
Lineage: Eukaryota; Viridiplantae; Streptophyta; Magnoliopsida; Solanales; Solanaceae
Description: mir-166 microRNA precursor family
Rfam family: mir-166 microRNA precursor family
About the family: This family represents the plant microRNA (miRNA) precursor mir-166. Animal miRNAs are transcribed as ~70nt precursors and subsequently processed by the Dicer enzyme to give a ~22nt product.
Source: Rfam by way of RNAcentral